GGUUAAGCGACUAAGCGUACACGGUGGAUGCCCUGGCAGUCAGAGGCGAUGAAGGACGUGCUAAUCUGCGAUAAGCGCCGGUAAGGUGAUAUGAACCGUUAUAACCGGCGAUUUCCGAAUGGGGAAACCCAGUGUGAUUCGUCACACUAUCAUUAACUGAAUCCAUAGGUUAAUGAGGCGAACCGGGGGAACUGAAACAUCUAAGUACCCCGAGGAAAAGAAAUCAACCGAGAUUCCCCCAGUAGCGGCGAGCGAACGGGGAGGAGCCCAGAGCCUGAAUCAGCAUGUGUGUUAGUGGAAGCGUCUGGAAAGGUGCGCGAUACAGGGUGACAGCCCCGUACACAAAAGCGCAUGUGCUGUGAGCUCGAUGAGUAGGGCGGGACACGUGGUAUCCUGUCUGAAUAUGGGGGGACCAUCCUCCAAGGCUAAAUACUCCUGACUGACCGAUAGUGAACCAGUACCGUGAGGGAAAGGCGAAAAGAACCCCGGCGAGGGGAGUGAAAAAGAACCUGAAACCGUGUACGUACAAGCAGUGGGAGCACAGGUUUACCUGUGUGACUGCGUACCUUUUGUAUAAUGGGUCAGCGACUUAUAUUCUGUAGCAAGGUUAACCGUAUAGGGGAGCCGUAGGGAAACCGAGUCUUAACCGGGCGUUAAGUUGCAGGGUAUAGACCCGAAACCCGGUGAUCUAGCCAUGGGCAGGUUGAAGGUUGGGUAACACUAACUGGAGGACCGAACCGACUAAUGUUGAAAAAUUAGCGGAUGACCUGUGGCUGGGGGUGAAAGGCCAAUCAAACCGGGAGAUAGCUGGUUCUCCCCGAAAGCUAUUUAGGUAGCGCCUCGUGAAUUCAUCUCCGGGGGUAGAGCACUGUUUCGGCUAGGGGGCCAUCCCGGCUUACCAACCCGAUGCAAACUGCGAAUACCGGAGAAUGUUAUCACGGGAGACACACGGCGGGUGCUAACGUCCGUCGUGAAGAGGGAAACAACCCAGACCGCCAGCUAAGGUCCCAAAGUCAUGGUUAAGUGGGAAACGAUGUGGGAAGGCCCAGACAGCCAGGAUGUUGGCUUAGAAGCAGCCAUCAUUUAAAGAAAGCGUAAUAGCUCACUGGUCGAGUCGGCCUGCGCGGAAGAUGUAACGGGGCUAAACCAUGCACCGAAGCUGCGGCAGCGAACGUAUCACUUAAAGCGAUUCAGCGGGUUACGAUUGACGGAGCGAAGCGACGUCAAAGCGUAUACAAAGUCGAGUCGGUUUAAGGAUACGUUCGUUGGGUAGGGGAGCGUUCUGUAAGCCCGUGAAGGUGGCCUGUGAGGGUUGCUGGAGGUAUCAGAAGUGCGAAUGCUGACAUAAGUAACGAUAAAGCGGGUGAAAAGCCCGCUCGCCGGAAGACCAAGGGUUCCUGUCCAACGUUAAUCGGGGCAGGGUGAGUCGACCCCUAAGGCGAGGCCGAAAGGCGUAGUCGAUGGGAAACGGGUUAAUAUUCCCGUACUUGGUGUUACUGCGAAGGGGGGACGGAGAAGGCUAUGUUGGCCGGGCGACGGUUGUCCCGGUUUAAGCGUGUAGGUGUGUGUUCCAGGUAAAUCCGGUUCACUUUAACACUGAGGCGUGACGACGAGGCACUACGGUGCUGAAGCAACAAAUGCCCUGCUUCCAGGAAAAGCCUCUAAGCAUCAGGUAACAUCAAAUCGUACCCCAAACCGACACAGGUGGUCAGGUAGAGAAUACCAAGGCGCUUGAGAGAACUCGGGUGAAGGAACUAGGCAAAAUGGUGCCGUAACUUCGGGAGAAGGCACGCUGACACGUAGGUGAAGUGAUUUACUCACGGAGCUGAAGUCAGUCGAAGAUACCAGCUGGCUGCAACUGUUUAUUAAAAACACAGCACUGUGCAAACACGAAAGUGGACGUAUACGGUGUGACGCCUGCCCGGUGCCGGAAGGUUAAUUGAUGGGGUCAGCGCAAGCGAAGCUCCUGAUCGAAGCCCCGGUAAACGGCGGCCGUAACUAUAACGGUCCUAAGGUAGCGAAAUUCCUUGUCGGGUAAGUUCCGACCUGCACGAAUGGCGUAAUGAUGGCCAGGCUGUCUCCACCCGAGACUCAGUGAAAUUGAACUCGCUGUGAAGAUGCAGUGUACCCGCGGCAAGACGGAAAGACCCCGUGAACCUUUACUAUAGCUUGACACUGAACAUUGAGCCUUGAUGUGUAGGAUAGGUGGGAGGCUUUGAAGUGUGGACGCCAGUCUGCAUGGAGCCGACCUUGAAAUACCACCCUUUAAUGUUUGAUGUUCUAACGUGGACCCGUAAUCCGGGUUGCGGACAGUGUCUGGUGGGUAGUUUGACUGGGGCGGUCUCCUCCUAAAGAGUAACGGAGGAGCACGAAGGUUGGCUAAUCCUGGUCGGACAUCAGGAGGUUAGUGCAAUGGCAUAAGCCAGCUUGACUGCGAGCGUGACGGCGCGAGCAGGUGCGAAAGCAGGUCAUAGUGAUCCGGUGGUUCUGAAUGGAAGGGCCAUCGCUCAACGGAUAAAAGGUACUCCGGGGAUAACAGGCUGAUACCGCCCAAGAGUUCAUAUCGACGGCGGUGUUUGGCACCUCGAUGUCGGCUCAUCACAUCCUGGGGCUGAAGUAGGUCCCAAGGGUAUGGCUGUUCGCCAUUUAAAGUGGUACGCGAGCUGGGUUUAGAACGUCGUGAGACAGUUCGGUCCCUAUCUGCCGUGGGCGCUGGAGAACUGAGGGGGGCUGCUCCUAGUACGAGAGGACCGGAGUGGACGCAUCACUGGUGUUCGGGUUGUCAUGCCAAUGGCACUGCCCGGUAGCUAAAUGCGGAAGAGAUAAGUGCUGAAAGCAUCUAAGCACGAAACUUGCCCCGAGAUGAGUUCUCCCUGAGACUUAGAGUCUCCUGAAGGAACGUUGAAGACGACGACGUUGAUAGGCCGGGUGUGUAAGCGCAGCGAUGCGUUGAGCUAACCGGUACUAAUGAACCGUGAGGCUUAACCUU
This 2989-nucleotide ribosomal RNA is filed under the name Salmonella enterica subsp. enterica serovar 4,[5],12:i:-. RNAcentral's name for it is "23S ribosomal RNA". It matches the Rfam family "Bacterial large subunit ribosomal RNA". The record is from RNAcentral. Lineage: Bacteria; Pseudomonadati; Pseudomonadota; Gammaproteobacteria; Enterobacterales; Enterobacteriaceae.